CGCCCACCUCGGCCUCCCAAAGUGCUGGGAUUACAGGCAUGAGCCACUGCGCCCGGCCAUGCCCAGCUAAUUUUUGUG
This is a microRNA precursor of Chlorocebus sabaeus (green monkey), 78 nucleotides long. Lineage: Eukaryota; Metazoa; Chordata; Mammalia; Primates; Cercopithecidae. The record is from Ensembl.